AAACUUUCAACAAUGGAUCUCUUGGCUCUGGCAUCGAUGAAGAACGCAGCGAAAUGCGAUAAGUAGUGUGAAUUGCAGAAUUUAGUGAAUCAUCGAAUCUUUGAACGCACAUUGCGCCCUUUGGUAUUCCUUGGGGCAUGCCUGUUCGAGCGUCAUUU
Molecule: ribosomal RNA, 158 nt
Filed under: Flabellascoma minimum
Lineage: Eukaryota; Fungi; Ascomycota; Dothideomycetes; Pleosporales; Lophiostomataceae
Description: 5.8S ribosomal RNA
Rfam family: 5.8S ribosomal RNA
About the family: 5.8S ribosomal RNA (5.8S rRNA) is a component of the large subunit of the eukaryotic ribosome. It is transcribed by RNA polymerase I as part of the 45S precursor that also contains 18S and 28S rRNA.
Source: RNAcentral